CCCCUAGUGUUACCAAGCCAUCCUACUACUGAGCAAAGAAUAGCAUAUAAAAAAUGGACGGAUGAAGACAGUUGGGUUAAGUGUUAUGUAUUGGCUUCCAUGAUAAAUGAGUUGCAAAGCCAGCAUGAGUAUAUGGCCACUGUAAGGGCUAUGAUCAUUCACCUAUAAAAGUUGUAUGGUGAGUAGAGCCGCACAGCGUACUCGAAGUAUCCAAGAGACUCUUCAAUCUAAAGAUGCAUGAAGGGCAGCUAGUCUAUGAGC
This 261-nucleotide long non-coding RNA is filed under the name Elaeis guineensis (African oil palm). RNAcentral describes it as "long non-coding RNA (EGUI_LNC057139)". The record is from RNAcentral. Lineage: Eukaryota; Viridiplantae; Streptophyta; Magnoliopsida; Arecales; Arecaceae.